This is a long non-coding RNA of Otolemur garnettii (small-eared galago), 2616 nucleotides long. RefSeq lists it as uncharacterized. The record is from RefSeq and is a predicted model, not a curated record. The transcript has 3 exons. Lineage: Eukaryota; Metazoa; Chordata; Mammalia; Primates; Galagidae.
CCUGAUUAGUUUUUUUUUUUUUUUUAAUCUAAUUGCAAAUGUUUAUCAUGCUGGGUGCUGAGCUAGGUCCAGGGGAUACAAUCUUGAAAAAAUUCAUGUUUAGUCCUUGCUCUUAUGGUGCUUACAGUCUAGUAGAAGAUGACUAUAGAAUUAAAAUGAGUGUAAAAUUGCAUCCUAAUGAAUGCUUCUGGGAAGAAAAUGUGCUUUAUUAGAGCUAAGUACAAUGGAAAUCAUAUGUUUUGGAAGGUUCAAGAAGAUUUCCCCUCAAAAGUGGGAUUUGAGUGGAAAGCUGAAGAAUGAGUAAGAGGAGGGAUAGGCGUGCACAGGUCUGAUGGCAGGAAUAACAGGAGGACUUGGAAGAAGGCCUGGAGCAAGGAGCAUGGUACAGGUGUUGCUAGACAGGUGGGUGCAGGCCAGACUAGAUCAGUCCCCAGAGCAUGCUAGGGAGUCUAACCUAAGGACCACCAGAAGUCAUGGAACAAUUUCAGCAAGAUCUGGUGGCAUGAACAGGUCUUUGUGUUUUAUAAAAGGGCCUUUGUUUCACUUCCUUUCAUAUUGUCUAGAACUAUAUGAGCAAUUCAAGCACCAGCAUUCAUUACUGCUCCAACUAUCCUAAUAAUUGUAGAUACACACACACAUGUUACUUUUCUGAAAGAUGUGUAUCUUGUCUGCUCCAGAAUUAAUUACCAAUGUCUUUCCCUCUCAUCUGGAGAACAUUUAGUUUGUCCUUUUGGACACUGACUAUAUUUACCUAGUAACUAAAUUCCAUGCUGGGGUACCUUGAGGAAUGAACAGAGUCUUAUCCUCAAUAUUAAGUGUGCAAGUGAAAUUGCCUUUCUCUGUUGGAAAGGGCGAGGACAACAGCCAUUGCAUCAACAAGAAGGGCCCAAAUUGAAUUAUCUGGCAGCGUCUGCAGGUCUCUCUGAACUAUCUCUAUAACCGAAAUUUCUUAGCACAUCCAAAAAUGGAUUAAGUUGCUUUGACAGGCUCUAUUUUUUAUGAACCUCUUUGGCUAUUACUUACUAUGUUAUUUUUCUCAAGGAGCUCAUGUACUGAUUUAUGAUUUCAUUUAAGGUUUUGACUGGUAGUUUGGAUACGCUAACUAGCCCACCUUUUCUCGGAUCUGACUUUGGCUGCUUUAUUUCCAACACUAAAUCAGGCUGCUUAAAUUUUCCCUGGUACAUAAGUCUCUACGACAAACACUAACUAGUAUUGCAGGUGCGUCCUGCCUUUGCCGGCUCGUCGAAUGUGUUCACAUGAAUCUCACCCAGCUCCGCUGAUUUAUAAAUAUUUAAAUUGUGUAAGUAUUCUUUUACCUGCCUCUUAUUAAUUCUGUUUCUUGAUAUUCCUAGAGACUCAUUAAUAUUUAUCUGACUGAGCUCCUGCUUCCUUCAUUCUUUGUGCUAACGGCUGAGACAAAACAAUGGCUCCCUAGCCUCUCCCCUUCGCAUCUUUCGUCAUGUUCUCACACCCCUGGUUUAGGAAAAGUAGCCUUUGUUUUUUGGGGCACAGCAUCCUUUUGUAUUAUUAGAAGGCUUUGCCAUAAAUUCUUGCUUCCUUUGCUGCUCUAAUUCUGCUUUUUCACCCUCUGUCUCCUGGAAUUAUAUUUUCUUCACAUUGAGUAUUCCUUUCCCUAAACCCUACACAAUUGGAUUUUGCUUGACCUCCCCUCCCAAAGGAAGCAUUCAUGCUUUAAGCUUGUUUGUCAGAAUGCAUGUGGGGUUAUAUAACAGCACCCAGCAGCCACUGGUGUGUUCUUUUUUUAGAGGAUGGACUUGAAUGCCCACACCCAUGUUUUGUCUUUCAGUAGAACAACAUGAGUAGUAAUCAUUCAGUUCCUGAAAGAUGGUUGGAUUCAGUCCAUUAACUUCAGAGCAUGUCCAGAAAAUUGGUCUGAAAGAAACAGCAUGUGAAUAUGAAACCAAGACAAGGGAUUUCCAAUAACAAAGAAAUUAAUAAUAAAAACAUUCCUGGAACAGUCCAGGCAUCUACCUGGACUCUUGGAAAGACAUUGGAAACUUUAAUCUGUUUUCAAAAGAGAACAUACUGCAUGCCACAAAAAAGAAAGAAAAUUAAAGAGUAUGCACUGUAUUGGUACAUUUUAAUGAAGUUCAAGAAUAGGCAAAAUGGAGCUGCGGUGACAGAGGUUAGAAGAUGGUUCCCUCUGGGGUGAUGCUGAUGCUGCCAGUCUGGAGCCCACACUUUUGAGAAUCCUUCCUGCACUGUUUCCAGAGUUUCCCUGUGGGAUUGAGCAGUUUCCCGAGACAUUUGACAAGGUUCCCAGAGCAACGCUAUGGAACACUGGAGCAAUUAACAUGGACCCUGAUGCUUUGAGCAUGUAAGUAGAUAUGCAAACCAGCUGGCUAUUAAAAGACAAAAGAUAUUGAUUAAUACGAAUAAAAUCAAACUCUCCUCCCUUCCCUUCUCUUGCCUUGACAUAUUAGGAUUAAGCAGAUGAACUUGUUCUCUAGCUUUCUUCCAUGUUUUGUUCAUGCCUAUUUAAGAUUUUAUGACAUCUUCAAGAAUGCCCUUCCCUACCCAUGGUUGUUAACUUUAUGUGUUAACUUAGCUAGGCCAAGCUACCUAGUCAUUUGGUCAAAUACUAGUAUAGAUGCU